CCUACGGGGAGCAGCAGUGAGGAAUAUUGGUCAAUGGACGAGAGUCUGAACCAGCCAAGUAGCGUGAAGGAUGACUGCCCUAUGGGUUGUAAACUUCUUUUAUCUGGGAAUAAAAUGUUCCACGUGUGGGAUUUUGUAUGUACCAUAUGCAUAAGGAUCGGCUAACUCCGUGCCAGCAGCCGCGGUAAUACGGAGGAUCCGAGCGUUAUCCGGAUUUAUUGGGUUUAAAGGGAGCGUAGGUGGAUUGUUAAGUCAGUUGUGAAAGUUUGCGGCUCAACCGUAAAAUUGCAGUUGAAACUGGCAGUCUUGAGUACAGUAGAGGUGGGCGGAAUUCGUGGUGUAGCGGUGAAAUGCUUAGAUAUCACGAAGAACUCCGAUUGCGAAGGCAGUUCACUGGACUGCAACUGACACUGAGGCUCGAAAGUGUGGGUAUCAAACAGGAUUAGAUACCCUGUAGUC
This 459-nucleotide ribosomal RNA is filed under the name uncultured bacterium. Its description in RNAcentral is "partial 16S ribosomal RNA". It matches the Rfam family "Bacterial small subunit ribosomal RNA", at positions 338 to 795 of the family's 1533-position model. The record is from RNAcentral.